AUUGAACGCUGGCGGCAGGCCUAACACAUGCAAGUCGAGCGGAUGAAGGGAGCUUGCUCCUGGAUUCAGCGGCGGCCGGGUGAGUAAUGCCUAGGAAUCUGCCUGGUAGUGGGGGAUAACGUCCGGAAACGGGCGCUAAUACCGCAUACGUCCUGAGGGAGAAAGUGGGGGACCUUCGGACCUCACGCUAUCAGAUGAGCCUAGGUCGGAUUAGCCAGUUGGUGGGGUAAAGGCCUACCAAGGCGACGAUCCGUAACUGGUCUGAGAGGAUGAUCAGUCACACUGGAACUGAGACCCGGUCCAGACUCCUACGGGAAGCAACAGUGGGGAAUAUUGGACAAUGGGCGAAAGCCUGAUCCAGCCAUGCCGCGUGUAUGAAGAAGGUCUUCGGAUUGUAAAGCACUUUAAGUUGGGAGGAAGGGCAGUAAGUUAAUACCUUGCUGUUUUGACGUUACCAACAGAAUAAGCACCGGCUAGCUUCGUG
This 484-nucleotide ribosomal RNA is filed under the name uncultured bacterium. Its description in RNAcentral is "partial 16S ribosomal RNA". It matches the Rfam family "Bacterial small subunit ribosomal RNA", at positions 30 to 507 of the family's 1533-position model. The record is from RNAcentral.